GGAUGGAUGGCCGAGUGGUUUAAGGCACUGGUCUUGAAAACCAGCGAAUCGAAAGGUUCCGUGGGUUCGAAUCCCACUCCAUCCGCCA
Molecule: transfer RNA, 88 nt
Filed under: Paracoccus sp. BP8
Lineage: Bacteria; Pseudomonadati; Pseudomonadota; Alphaproteobacteria; Rhodobacterales; Paracoccaceae
Also listed under: 2 other names
Description: tRNA-Ser
Rfam family: tRNA
About the family: Transfer RNA (tRNA) molecules are approximately 80 nucleotides in length. Their secondary structure includes four short double-helical elements and three loops (D, anti-codon, and T loops). Further hydrogen bonds mediate the characteristic L-shaped molecular structure. tRNAs have two regions of fundamental functional importance: the anti-codon, which is responsible for specific mRNA codon recognition, and the 3' end, to which the tRNAs corresponding amino acid is attached (by aminoacyl-tRNA synthetases). tRNAs cope with the degeneracy of the genetic code in two manners: having more than one tRNA (with a specific anti-codon) for a particular amino acid; and 'wobble' base-pairing, i.e. permitting non-standard base-pairing at the 3rd anti-codon position.
Source: RNAcentral